This 391-nucleotide ribosomal RNA is filed under the name uncultured bacterium. Its description in RNAcentral is "partial 16S ribosomal RNA". It matches the Rfam family "Bacterial small subunit ribosomal RNA", at positions 523 to 917 of the family's 1533-position model. The record is from RNAcentral.
AUACGGAGGAUCCGAGCGUUAUCCGGAUUUAUUGGGUUUAAAGGGUGCGCAGGCGGCCAUUUAAGUCAGCGGUUAAAUCGUGGGGCUCAACCCCAUUCUGCCGUUGAUACUGGGUGGCUUGAUUGCGGUCGAGGUUGGCGGAAUUCGUUGUGUAGCGGUGAAAUGCAUAGAUAUGACGAAGAACACCGAUUGCGUAGGCAGCUGACCAGACCGCAAAUGACGCUCAUGCACGAAAGGGCGGGGAGCGAACAGGAUUAGAUACCCUGGUAGUCCGCACAGUAAACGAUGAAUACUUGUUUUCGGCGAUAUAAUGUCGGAGGCAAAGCGAAAGCGAUAAGUAUUCCACCUGGGGAGUACGCCGGCAACGGUGAAACUCAAAGGAAUUGACGGG